AAUAUUGCACAAUGGGGGAAACCCUGAUGCAGCAUCGCCGCGUGAGCGAAGAAGGCCUUAGGGUCGUAAAGCUCUGUCCUAAGGGAAGAUAAUGACGGUACUUUAGGAGGAAGCCCCGGCUAACUACGCGCCAGCAGCCCCGGUAAGACGUAGGGGGCAAGCGUUAUCAGGAAUCAUUGGGCGUAAAGGGUGAGUAGGCGGUAUUAUGGGUCAGAGGUGAAAUCCUACGGCUUAACCGUAGUUAGCCUUUGAAACUGUAGGGCUUGAGUGCAGGAGAGGAGAGUGGAAUUCCUAGUGUAGCGGUGAAAUGCGUAGAUAUUAGGAGGAACACCAGUGGCGAAGGCGACUCUCUGGACUGCAACUGACGCUGAGGCACGAAAGCGUGGGUAGCGAAC
Molecule: ribosomal RNA, 395 nt
Filed under: uncultured bacterium
Lineage: Bacteria
Description: partial 16S ribosomal RNA
Rfam family: Bacterial small subunit ribosomal RNA
Source: RNAcentral